This 1824-nucleotide long non-coding RNA is filed under the name Homo sapiens (human). RNAcentral's name for it is "non-protein coding lnc-FBXO8-1:2". Lineage: Eukaryota; Metazoa; Chordata; Mammalia; Primates; Hominidae. The record is from RNAcentral.
GAGUCCUCAGCAUAGACAUAGCAGAAGAAACUAGAGGAGUUGAUAUGCAUUGUGAUAUUGUCAUGAGCACUUAGCACAGUGCAUGGCAAGCUGUAGGAUCUAAAUACGUGUUGUAUGAACAAAUUGAUUUUGACAAGUGCUCUCACCUCCUGAUCUCUAGAAGGAAUCCUGAAGCAUGUGCCAGAGACGCAGUUCCUAAAGUCUUUUUUUCUCUAUGGUUAGAGUGACUGGCCAACAUCCCCACAAAUCUAUUAAAGCAGGUUUUUGUGAACAUAUACUUUGAAUUUACAGCUUUCUCACUCUUUCCCUGAGACCACUUUCUGUAUUACAUAUGUUUAGUAUGUAACUACAGCUCUUUAAAAACAUCAGAAUGGUUUUCCCAAACAGUUCCUGAUCUGUAAGCUAUUUAUGUGGAUAAUUGUGAAUUGUUGUGAGAUGGUAUUGACGAAUAAAACAUGGCUUCCAUUGAAGUGUAAUACUGUGGUGCUAUUUGCUGGGAGGGCCAUAUAUUGCCUGGCAGAACUACAUAGAUUGAAAUGUAUGUAGAAUAGAGUCUUGGGCCAGGCCUAUGGUAGUAGUUCUUAAUAUUUUGGGUAUUACAAACUCUUUUGAAAAUCUAAUGAGAGCUAUGAAUCUUUACCUUUAAAAUAUUCGCAUGCACACAGCUUUACAAAUACUUGCUUAGAAUUUUGAGACCACAUGAAGCUAUUUAUGUAACCUGAGGAGUCCCUAGGAUCUGACAAGACUUGAGCCCCUCUAGGUUUUACCUCCAUAUUCUGGAGAAGGUCUGUGAGACUUUCACAAACACAAGAAAUUUUACAGUCUUGGGCUAAGUUCUAGUCACUCAUCUAUUUUAUUCAUUUAUUUAUCUAUUCACUUAGUCAUUUAUUUUUUCUGCAAGUUGAUGAAUGACACUGCUGUGAAAAGUGCUGUAGUAAAGCAUAGCAUGUUCAGGAAGAGCCAUUCAUUCAAUAGUAAGCAUUUACUAGAGUCAUACCCUCAAAUGUCAUAGUUUUGGAAGAGAACUAAAUGAAUACCAGCCUUCCUCAGGAAAUGACACAGAAAGGAAGAAAACCUGAUAAACAGCAAUAAGCUAUCAGAUGAGGCCCUAGGUAACCUACCUACAUUUUCUCUUUUGAUUCUACAACAACUUUGGAAGCUCAACAUUAUUUUCACCAUUUAUCAAUGAGUAAAUUUAGUUUAACGGAGUUUUAAUAACCUGCUUAAGGUCGUAAGUAGCAGAGCCAGGGUAUUAAUCCAAUCAACUGCAUUUCCAAAUCCUCGGAUACUCUGCUGUCUUCCUAGGGUAGCAUACAAGCAGAUUUGCUAACAUGGCAGAGUCAAGUCAGAACUCCUUGCCUGGUGGUAUGUAAUGCAUCCAUUUCAUUGAAAAAUACUAUGCAUAUCACCUACCUUCUGAAACAUGGAAAAAAAAAUAAAACAUAUUAUGCAGAGACAGCCUGCCCAGGGAAAAAUAUAUUUGGCUCACCAAUCAGAGGACUUUGAAUUAAGUUUUUUCAUUGGCUAUUUGCAUUUAUGUGACUUUGAUUAGUAACUGACCCUCCAACGGCUUUAGUAUCUGAAUCUACAACUGGAAUUAAACCAGAUGAUCUUCCAGGUCUUUUGAGCUUUAGGCUUUUGUGAUAGCUGCACUCAGAUUAUCCAACUAUUAAUAAAGUUCAAUAAUUUAAAGAUUGAUUAGUAGAUUAUAUCUGUACACAUAUUUUUCAUCAACCUAAUUAAAAAGAGAACUAUUUAUAUUAGUGGACCUUCUCAUAUCAAAAACACUAGAGACAAAUAAAAGGCAGAGAGACUACUCACAUG